CUCGUUGGUUCAGGCACUAUAAAUACCUGGUUAGGCUUCGGUUAGUUUGGUUUAAAACACGCCCCUUAACAACAGUAACCCUGUUCUUCUACUGAUGCUGUAAAGCAGGAAGGACACGGGCUGGGUCAAUGAGCCAGGCCAGCACUAAUUGACACCCCCGGGAUGAGAUGAAGCUGUGUGUCCACACAUCUCAGGUUGUACUGAAAAAAUAAUAUGAGGUGCUUGCUUGUGUGUUGCAUUACUUAAUUUAUACAAAAACAACAUUUAAUGAAAAACAAGGAGCACGAACCUGGAGAGCUAAUGAAAGUGAGACGAUUGUACAGAUGUGUAAAGUUAAAACAUCAGUUUUAGACACCGGAUGUACCGAGCCACUUUCAGCAGGAGACGAAGUGGAAUAUGGACAGCCUGACGGCGGGGAUUCUUCAUGUCGAUGUCAAUUAAGAACCAGAGUGCGUGCGUGUGUGUGUGUGUGUGGGUGUGUGUGUGGGUGUGUGCAGAGUUGUGUCAAGGCUUUUCGUCUGGAGGAGGAUCAUUCAUCUCCUGAGUGUCGACAGCAGAUGUCAACCUCUGUAUUGUGACUCACGGUCUUUGUGUUGCUUCGGUGAGAACAGCAGUAAAGGGCAGCUGGAUUCUGAUAUACUGUCUGACAUAGAAGUAAAGUGUAAGGAUCGUGGGCUCGCUGUGUGGACCGGACAGAUGGUUUUCAGCCACGCUUGGAGGACCUGGAGGGAGAAACGGAGCGCGGCAGCCGCCCCCGUCCUCUAUCGUCUCCAGCAGCUCCUCUGUGGUUUCUCUUCUUCGGGAUUUCGUUGUAUUUGAUUUUUUGGCUUCGUGAUUUCGUGUUUCUCUCGCUGCCUGCUCAGUGCUGUCACUGUCUGUGUCUGUUUAUUUUGUUUGAUGCUCGAUGACUGAAAAGCACUUUGGGUCACCUCCUCAUGUUUUCAUGUGCGCUGUAAAAAACAUUACCUGACGUCUUGUCCACGUGCACGAUCGGCGUUGUGUCGAUUCAACGUUCUCUUCCUGUUUAUCUUUUCCUAUUUAGUAUUUCCCUCUUUAUAUUUUUGCACAUGAUGCUUUUUAAUUUCACAGUUUUCUGGUUAUGAAACCAGACAAAAUAUUUAAAUCCAACCCCCCCGUCAUUUCAAACUAGCUCUGCUGCCUACAGUGUUGUCCUUUCACUGAGGGCUUCAUAGCACAAGGAAAACAAACUUUCAGUCCACUUAUUUCCAUAUUUCACAGAAUAAAAUAAAAGUGAAGACCUGUCUCUGACUCAUGCAAGAUUUCUGCACAUUUCUCCUGUUUACAUGAUUUUAGAAUAUCUCUCUCAGUAAAUUGUGAGAUAUCACCCCCUCCUUCCUGAACCAGAGACAAACAGAAAGAAGGAGGAGGAACCAGACAAAGAGACCGAGGAAGGCUGACGCGUAGCGAGGAGGAGUGAGAAACCAUAAAAUUCAACCUGAAGCUUGAGGCGGGUUUGGUCCUCAAAACUGAAAAUAUCCAAGUCAACUUCAUCACAUUUCCUAUGCACACAGCAUUACAGCAGUUUGAUGUUAAGGUAGCUCAGAGAAGCACAUUUUACCUGCAGCUGGUAACCGAAAUCAUUAGCGGUGCUCCCGCUGAGCUAAGCUCGGUAUUUCACCGAGCAACGGAGAGAGAGUAUCAGAAUGCAGCUGUUUGGCGUAACGUCUCAGGAAAGCUGGGAUAGCGAUCAGUUAACCUCCUGCUGAUUAAAUACAAUUAUUUGCUUUUCCAAAAGCUUUGAGUUGGAACCGAGAAGAUCACCUGAAUAUGUAAAAAAAAUCUAUCAGUGCAUGAACAGAAAAUGGAUUCUGAGGCA
This is a long non-coding RNA of Haplochromis burtoni (Burton's mouthbrooder), 1837 nucleotides long. RefSeq lists it as uncharacterized. NCBI's taxonomy places the organism in Eukaryota, Metazoa, Chordata, Actinopteri, Cichliformes, Cichlidae. The record is from RefSeq and is a predicted model, not a curated record. The transcript is spliced from 4 exons.